RNAcentral lists this ribosomal RNA (497 nucleotides) under uncultured bacterium. RNAcentral describes it as "partial 16S ribosomal RNA". It matches the Rfam family "Bacterial small subunit ribosomal RNA", at positions 28 to 507 of the family's 1533-position model. The record is from RNAcentral.
GAUGAACGCUGGCGGCGUGCCUAAUACAUGCAAGUCGAGCGAACAGACGAGGAGCUUGCUCCUCUGACGUUAGCGGCGGACGGGUGAGUAACACGUGGAUAACCUACCUAUAAGACUGGGAUAACUUCGGGAAACCGGAGCUGAUACCGGAUAAUAUAUUGAACCGCAUGGUUCAAUAGUGAAAGACGGUUUUGCUGUCACUUAUAGAUGGAUCCGCGCCGCAUUAGCUAGUUGGUAAGGUAACGGCUUACCAAGGCAACGAUGCGUAGCCGACCUGAGAGGAUGAUCAGCCACACUGGAACUGAGACACGGUCCAGACUCCUACGGGAGGCAGCAGUGGGGAAUCUUCCGCAAUGGGCGAAAGCCUGACGGAGCAACGCCGCGUGAGUGAUGAAGGUCUUCGGAUCGUAAAACUCUGUUAUUAGGAAAGAACAAAUGUGUAAGUAACUAUGCACGUCUUGACGGUACCUAAUCAGAAAGCCACGGCUAACUACGUG